AGCAGCCACUCAUUAAAAGAGUGCGUAAUAGCUCACUGGUCGAGUGACUCUGCGCCGAAAAUUUAACGGGGCUAAACUAUACACCGAAGCUUGGGAUACAUCUAAUGUAUGGUAGGAGAGCGUUCUGUAUGGAGAGAAGUCGUAGCGAAAGCGGCGGUGGACUAUACAGAAGUGAGAAUGCCGGAAUAAGUAGCGAGAAUUAAGUGAGAAUCUUAAUGGCCGAAAGUCUAAGGUUUUUGGAGGAAGGUUCGUCCGCUCCAAGUAAGUCGGGAGCUAAGGUCAGGCCGAAAGGCGUAGCCGAUGCACAUACGGUUGAUAUUCCGUAACCAUCUGUAAUUUAAGCAAAGGGACACUUCAAAAGGGUGUGACCCGGGCGUUGGUUGACCCGGGCGUAAGGGACCGAAAUUAGAGUAGGGAAGCACACUUAGCUGAAGGCGAGAAAAGCUUUGCGUAUAGAAGCAGAUGCCCGUACCGCAAACCGACACAGGUGGACAGGAAGAGAAUUCUAAGGCCAGCGGGAGAAGGGUAGUUAAGGAACUCGGCAAAUUGACUCCGUAACUUCGGAAUAAGGAGUGCUCGAAAGAGCCGCAGAGAAUAGGCCCAGGCGACUGUUUAGCAAAAACACAGGUCUCUGCCAAAUCGAAAGAUGAAGUAUAGGGGCUGACACCUGCCCGGUGCCGGAAGGUUAAGAGGAGGAGUGAGAGCUCCGAAUUGAAGCCCCGGUAAACGGCGGCCGUAACUAUAACGGUCCUAAGGUAGCGAAAUUCCUUGUCGGGUAAGUUCCGACCCGCACGAAUGGUGUAACGAUCUGGGCACUGUCUCAACUACCCACCCGGCGAAAUUGUAGUACCGGUGAAGAUGCCGGUUACCUGCGGCAAGACGGAAAGACCCCAUGGAGCUUUACUGUAGCCUGAUAUUGGGUUUCGGAAAUCUAUGUACAGGAUAGGCGGGAGACUAGGAAACAUGAGCGUCAGCUUGUGUGGAGUCGAUGUUGGGAUACCGCCCUUAGGUUUCUGGAAUUCUAACCUGCGGCCGUGAAUCCGGUCGGGGGACAUUGUCAGGUGGGCAGUUUGACUGGGGCGGUCGCCUCCGAAAAGAUAACGGAGGCGCUCAAAGGUUAGCUCAGCACGGACGGAAACCGUGCCUCUGAGUGUAAACGCAAAAGCUAGCCUAACUGCGAGGGUGACGGCCCGAGCAGUAACGAAAGUUGGAGUUAGUGAUCCGGCGGUAUGUGAAUGGAAAUGCCGUCGCUCAACGGAUAAAAGCUACCCUGGGGAUAACAGGCUGAUCUCCCCCA
RNAcentral lists this ribosomal RNA (1297 nucleotides) under human gut metagenome. RNAcentral describes it as "bacterial LSU rRNA". It matches the Rfam family "Bacterial large subunit ribosomal RNA", at positions 1111 to 2494 of the family's 2925-position model. The record is from RNAcentral.